GGCCAAGAGAACCUCUCUCUAGGGCGGGGCCCAGAGGAAAGAAGAGAGCGUAGGACGCCCACUUGUGUUUGUUUAGGGAUGGGCGUCGCGGGCUUUGGGAACUGUUAGUGGAGGCACCUACGCUUGGUGAGGGCGUGAGCACGUGUUGCGGGCAGGAUCCUUGCCUAAAGAGCGGAGUCUGCGACUGGGAAGUCUAUACUCAAUGUGAUUCCAAUACCUAGAACGUCUUUCUUCAGAUGGGCAAUGCGGUUCCCGAGCUGGCCCUGGGGUGUGUGUCCACAAGUUAAGGGAACAUCAAAGGUUUUCCAUUGAAUGUUCUGAAGACCCUCAAGUAAUUCAUAGGUGGCUCCCUACAGCAAGAUACUAUGCCACCUCAGGCCCAGAACAACAGGGCCAAUUGAUCAUGGAUGAAACCUCUGAAACCAUGAGCCAAAAUACAUCUUUCUUCCCUUGAAGAUGAUUAUCUCAGGUAUUUUGUCACAGUAA
This 486-nucleotide long non-coding RNA is filed under the name Ictidomys tridecemlineatus (thirteen-lined ground squirrel). RNAcentral describes it as "lncRNA (ENSSTOG00000031772.1)". Lineage: Eukaryota; Metazoa; Chordata; Mammalia; Rodentia; Sciuridae. The record is from RNAcentral.